GCGGUGCUGCGGGGCGCGUGUGGUCAACAUAUCCCCGGGGCCUUAUCGAUCCUGUCGGGAGCUGUCCCUGGCCUUGCCCGUGGGCUUGGUCACAUGGCGCCCACCUACGUUGUAGGUUCCCGGGAUCGCUUGCCCACGGCCAUUGCGGCUCCGCA
RNAcentral lists this non-coding RNA (155 nucleotides) under Methylobacteriaceae bacterium. RNAcentral's name for it is "6S RNA". It matches the Rfam family "6S / SsrS RNA". Rfam says of the family: E. coli 6S RNA was the first non coding RNA to be sequenced, but its function was unknown until recently. It consists of 184 nucleotides that fold into an extended hairpin structure with a large single-stranded internal bulge. The record is from RNAcentral. Lineage: Bacteria; Pseudomonadati; Pseudomonadota; Alphaproteobacteria; Hyphomicrobiales; Methylobacteriaceae.